Molecule: long non-coding RNA, 322 nt
Organism: Drosophila mojavensis
Lineage: Eukaryota; Metazoa; Arthropoda; Insecta; Diptera; Drosophilidae
Exons: 2
Source: RefSeq, a predicted model, not a curated record
GGAAACCGACGCAGGUAUCCUAAAGGAAAUAAUUUAACGUUUAUUUUAAUAUCAAAUGCACGCUUACAACUUUUACAUAUUUAUGAUAAACAAUGCACCUACAGCAACUUUAUUACUGUUGUUUUAAAGGAUGUCAUUAAAAAGCUCACCUCAUCACCAAUGACAGAUAUUAAUUUUCCUUUAAUAGCCGAGUGCAAAGCCAUUUUAUUUCUUUAAGUUAAAUUUUACUGAAACAGCCUAUAAUUUUUUUUACUUAAAUAAAAUGUCAGCUGACGGGAGUCACGAGACGAUAACAUAAAUACACUAAAAUUACCAUAUGAAA